This 75-nucleotide transfer RNA is filed under the name Ehrlichia muris AS145. RNAcentral describes it as "tRNA-His". It matches the Rfam family "tRNA". From Rfam's summary of the family: Transfer RNA (tRNA) molecules are approximately 80 nucleotides in length. Their secondary structure includes four short double-helical elements and three loops (D, anti-codon, and T loops). Further hydrogen bonds mediate the characteristic L-shaped molecular structure. tRNAs have two regions of fundamental functional importance: the anti-codon, which is responsible for specific mRNA codon recognition, and the 3' end, to which the tRNAs corresponding amino acid is attached (by aminoacyl-tRNA synthetases). tRNAs cope with the degeneracy of the genetic code in two manners: having more than one tRNA (with a specific anti-codon) for a particular amino acid; and 'wobble' base-pairing, i.e. permitting non-standard base-pairing at the 3rd anti-codon position. Lineage: Bacteria; Pseudomonadati; Pseudomonadota; Alphaproteobacteria; Rickettsiales; Anaplasmataceae. The record is from RNAcentral.
GCGGGUGUAGCUCAGUUGGUAGAGUGUCAGUUUGUGGCACUGAAGGUCGCCAGUUCAAUCCUGGUCACUCGCCCA